AAGGGUAUAGCUCAGUGGUAGAACACUGUGCUUAGCAUGCACAAGGUCCUGGGUUCAAUUCCCAGUACCUCCA
This 73-nucleotide transfer RNA is filed under the name Camelus bactrianus (Bactrian camel). It matches the Rfam family "tRNA". Rfam says of the family: Transfer RNA (tRNA) molecules are approximately 80 nucleotides in length. Their secondary structure includes four short double-helical elements and three loops (D, anti-codon, and T loops). RNAcentral also lists the same sequence under 2 other names. Lineage: Eukaryota; Metazoa; Chordata; Mammalia; Artiodactyla; Camelidae. The record is from Rfam by way of RNAcentral.